GAGUUUGAUCAUGGCUCAGAUUGAACGCUGGCGGCAUGCUUUACACAUGCAAGUCGAACGGCAGCAUGACCAAGCUUGCUUGGUUGAUGGCGAGUGGCGAACGGGUGAGUAACACAUCGGAACGUACCGUUUAGUGGGGGACAACUUUCAGAAAUGGAAGCUAAUACCGCAUACGAACUACGGUUGAAAGCAGGGGACCUUCGGGCCUUGUGCUAAACGAGCGGCCGAUGGAAGAUUAGCUAGUUGGUGGGGUAAAGGCUCACCAAGGCGACGAUCUUUAGCGGGUCUGAGAGGACGAUCCGCCACACUGAAACUGAGACACGGUCCAGGCUCCUACGGGAGGCAGCAGUGGGGAAUUUUGGACAAUGGGGGCAACCCUGAUCCAGCAAUGCCGCGUGAGUGAAGAAGGCCUUCGGGUUGUAAAGCUCUUUUGUUAGGGAAGAAAAGGUAACCACUAAUAUUGGUUGCUGAUGACGGUACCUAAAGAAUAAGCACCGGCUAACUACGUGCCAGCAGCCGCGGUAAUACGUAGGGUGCAAGCGUUAAUCGGAAUUACUGGGCGUAAAGCGUGCGCAGGCGGUCUCGUAAGUCAGAUGUGAAAUCCCCGAGCUCAACUUGGGAACUGCAUCCGAAACUGCGAGACUAGAGUGUGUCAGAGGGAGGUAGAAUUCCACGUGUAGCAGUGAAAUGCGUAGAUAUGUGGAGGAAUACCAGUGGCGAAGGCGGCCUC
Molecule: ribosomal RNA, 730 nt
Filed under: uncultured bacterium
Lineage: Bacteria
Description: bacterial SSU rRNA
Rfam family: Bacterial small subunit ribosomal RNA
Source: RNAcentral